RNAcentral lists this ribosomal RNA (143 nucleotides) under uncultured Shigella sp. Its description in RNAcentral is "partial 16S ribosomal RNA". It matches the Rfam family "Bacterial small subunit ribosomal RNA", at positions 338 to 474 of the family's 1533-position model. Lineage: Bacteria; Pseudomonadati; Pseudomonadota; Gammaproteobacteria; Enterobacterales; Enterobacteriaceae. The record is from RNAcentral.
CCUACGGGAGGCAGCAGUGGGGAAUAUUGCACAAUGGGCGCAAGCCUGAUGCAGCCAUGCCGCGUGUAUGAAGAAGGCCUUCGGGUGGUAAAGUACUUUCAGCGGGGAGGAAGGGAGUAAAGUUAAUACCUUGAUCAAUGACG